Molecule: long non-coding RNA, 325 nt
Organism: Folsomia candida
Lineage: Eukaryota; Metazoa; Arthropoda; Collembola; Entomobryomorpha; Isotomidae
Exons: 3
Source: RefSeq, a predicted model, not a curated record
GAGCAAGAAAGCAAUUUGGUCGGACGACUCGGAAUCGGACCGAUCCCCGAGAAGAGACGCCAAGAACAAGACGACCCACAAGGGCAGAAAGGAAGCCGAGAAGAAACAUAAGGAUAGCGACCGUAGACGAGAAGAAGUUAAGGAUGCGGAAAAGAAGCCCAUGAAAAAGUCUAACGAAGGACCUAGGCAGGGAUCGGGAUCUGGAACUAAGCGAAAAGCUGGCGACGACGAUAAGAAGCCUGCGAAGAGGAUCGUGAAGGACCAAGUCAAGUCGGCCGUGAAGGACGCUAAGCGGAAGACAUCCAAGAAGGAUCCCCAGCCUCAC